This 1585-nucleotide ribosomal RNA is filed under the name Duplominona sp. n. Blanes. Its description in RNAcentral is "eukaryotic LSU rRNA". It matches the Rfam family "Eukaryotic large subunit ribosomal RNA", at positions 83 to 1452 of the family's 3401-position model. Lineage: Eukaryota; Metazoa; Platyhelminthes; Proseriata; Monocelididae. The record is from RNAcentral.
GUAACGGCGAGUGAACAGGGAUGUAGCCCAGCUCUGAAUCCCAUGGCCCCUGCCAUUGGGAAUUGUGGAGUUUAGGUCGGCCUCUGGGUCGUGGGUCCUUUCUGAAGUUCACUUGAUUGUGACUUUAGGUCCAAAGAGGGUGUAAGACCCGUACGGAUUGGACUCGCGUCUCCUGGGUUGUCCUUGGAGUCGGGUUGUUUGAGAGUGCAGCCCAAAGCAGGUGGUAAACUCCAUCUAAGGCUAAAUACUGAACACUAGUCCGAUAGUCGACAAGUACCGUGAGGGAAAGUUGAAAAGAACUUUGAAGAGAGAGUUCAAUAGUGCGUGAAACCGUCUAGAGGUAAACGGAUGGAGCCGAAAAAGACUGUGGGGAUUCAGCCGGACCGUGCUGCGGUGCUGUGCCGUCCAAAUCCGUAAGGAUUGGUGGUAUGGCGUCUGCGGCGUGGUCUGGUGCACUUUCUCGCGGUCUGCACCAGGACCGUUGUGUUGGCGGCCUGUCGUUGGGUGGUGGUAGCGACAGCUUCGGCUGUUGUGACAUAUGCCUGACACGGGAUUGCUGACGCAAUGGAAACUGCGAUGUGAGCCAUAAGGGCGUGAUUAGGCAUACUCGGCUGGCGACAUUUUUGGGCUGACUUCUCAAAAGAUGGCCUGAUGUGCUGCUGGCUAGGUGUGCAGUCUUCACUUCACAUCGAUAGUCUCUGGUGUUAAAGUAGGUAGUCCAACCGACCCGUCUUGAAACACGGACCAAGGAGUCUAGCAUAUGCGCAAGUCAUUGGGUUGUACUAAACCCAAAGGCGAAGUGAAAGCAAAAGUGCAUUUCGGUGUGCUUAGGUAUGAUCCAGGUUCCACAUUGUUGGGCCCGGCGCAAUACCGACCCGUCUCAGUGUGUAAUACUCAGGGGCGGCGUAAGAGCGCAUAUGCUGAAACCCGAAAGAUGGUGAACUAUGCUUGGACAGGUUGAAGCCAGAGGAAACUCUGGUGGAGGACCGUAGCGAUUCUGACGUGCAAAUCGAUCGUCAGAUCUGAGUAUAGGGGCGAAAGACUAAUCGAACCAUCUAGUAGCUGGUUCCCUCUGAAGUUUCCCUCAGGAUAGCUGUUGUACAUGAAACAAACAGUUUCAUCCGGUAAAGCGAAUGAUUGGAAGUAUUGGGGACGAAAUGUCCUCAACUUACUCUCAAACUUUAAAUGGGUGAGAGCUCCGGGUCUCUUAAUUGGACCCGGGGAAAAGAAUGUGUAUAACUAGUGGGCCAUUUUUGGUAAGCAGAACUGGCGCUGUGGGAUGAACCAAACACUCAGCUAAGGUGCCAAACAGGACGUUCAUGAGACACCACAAAAGGUGUUGGUUGAUAUAGACAGCAGGACGGUGGCCAUGGAAGUUGGAAUCCGCUAAGGAGUGUGUAACAACUCACCUGCCGAAUCAACCAGCCCUGAAAAUGGAUGGCGCUUGAGCGUUCGACCUAUGCUGGGUCCUGAUAGCUGUGUAAAGAUACCAAGAGAUUUCGCUAUCAGGAGUAAGAGGGUUGCCGUGGUGAGCGUUGAAGCUGCCGCCGUGAGGCGGGGUGGAGCCGCCACGGGUACAGAUCUU